CUUUGACAAUCUCCACUUUAGAAUGAAUAUCUAAAUGAUCACUGAUGAUGGGGUGUUGUUGGUUUAUGAGAUGGACCAUGCGAGCCCUUUUAACAGUUUAUCUGGUCAGAAUAUUCCAUAUGCCAAACCUUUAUUUAUUCGGCCAUUAAUUUAUAGACAUAGAAGGGGCUCCAGGUUUAGUCUGGUUUCUACCAGAUAGACUCUCUGG
RNAcentral lists this long non-coding RNA (208 nucleotides) under Elaeis guineensis (African oil palm). RNAcentral describes it as "long non-coding RNA (EGUI_LNC021453)". The record is from RNAcentral. Lineage: Eukaryota; Viridiplantae; Streptophyta; Magnoliopsida; Arecales; Arecaceae.